RNAcentral lists this ribosomal RNA (497 nucleotides) under uncultured bacterium. Its description in RNAcentral is "partial 16S ribosomal RNA". It matches the Rfam family "Bacterial small subunit ribosomal RNA", at positions 28 to 507 of the family's 1533-position model. The record is from RNAcentral.
GAUGAACGCUGGCGGCGUGCCUAAUACAUGCAAGUCGAGCGAACGGACGAGAAGCUUGCUUCUCUGAUGUUAGCGGCGGACGGGUGAGUAACACGUGGAUAACCUACCUAUAAGACUGGGAUAACUUCGGGAAACCGGAGCUAAUACCGGAUAAUAUUUUGAACCGCAUGGUUCAAAAGUGAAAGACGGUCUUGCUGUCACUUAUAGAUGGAUCCGCGCUGCAUUAGCUAGUUGGUAAGGUAACGGCUUACCAAGGCAACGAUGCAUAGCCGACCUGAGAGGGUGAUCGGCCACACUGGAGCGGAGACACGGACCAGACUCCUACGGGAGGCAGCAGUAGGGAAUCUUCCGCAGUGGGCGAAAGCCUGACGGAGCAACGCCGCGUGAGUGAUGAAGGUCUUCGGAUCGUAAAACUCUGUUAUUAGGGAAGAACAUAUGUGUAAGUAACUGUGCACAUCUUGACGGUACCUAAUCAGAAAGCCACGGCUAACUACGUG